UAACCUCUGACGAAAAUCGUGAAUGUCA
RNAcentral lists this non-coding RNA (28 nucleotides) under unclassified sequences. RNAcentral describes it as "L19-Flavobacteria ribosomal protein leader". It matches the Rfam family "L19-Flavobacteria ribosomal protein leader". The record is from RNAcentral.